AUAAACUUUCCUUUGAGUCGCUGGGCAGCAAAACGAAAGCUGAAGAGCUGAUUAAUUAGUCCCUGCCCUAAUUUCCUGAGAAGUGCAGCCCGCCCCUCAUUUCCUUCUCUGUUAUCUUUUGCAGAACAGUAACAACCAACAGAGAGUUGUAAUCACAGAAUCUCUCUAUCCCCGGGGGCCCCCGCUCGAAAGGAAGGAAGCCCGCCCGUACUCCCCAGUCCCGGUCCGGUUUGGUCACUGAUAUCACCUAUCGUCGCUGGGCUCUCCUCUGGAUAUCUGAAGAUAACGCUAAGGAAUUCUGAUUUUCAAAUCCUGCUUCGGUCCUUGAAAAACGAAGAAAAAUCUCCUGAGCAGUGUUAGCAAUUUCUAUCAGCAAUAUUUCUCAAAA
Long non-coding RNA from Populus nigra (black poplar), 388 nucleotides. RefSeq lists it as uncharacterized. The transcript is spliced from 3 exons. Lineage: Eukaryota; Viridiplantae; Streptophyta; Magnoliopsida; Malpighiales; Salicaceae. The record is from RefSeq and is a predicted model, not a curated record.